CAGGUACAGAGGGAUGCUACCGGGCGACCGGAUGCGGAUCUCGAAAGCCUGUCCCAGUUCGGACUGGAGUCUGCAACCCGACUCCACGAAGUUGGAUUCGCUAGUAAUCGCGCAUCAGCCAUGGCGCGGCGAAUACGUUCCCGGGCCUUGUACACACCGCCCGUCAAGCCAUGGGANCCGGGGGUGCUUGAAGUGCGUCGCCGCAAGGCGCGCCCUAGAGCAAAACCGGUGACUGGGGCUAAGUCGUAACAAGGUACC
Molecule: ribosomal RNA, 258 nt
Filed under: uncultured bacterium
Lineage: Bacteria
Description: partial 16S ribosomal RNA
Rfam family: Bacterial small subunit ribosomal RNA
Source: RNAcentral